UACGAAGGGUGCAAGCGUUAUUCGGAAUUACUGGGCGUAAAGCGUGCGUAGGUGGUCUUUUAAGUCCGUUGUGAAAGCCCUGGGCUCAACCUGGGAAUGGCAGUGGAUACUGGAAGGCUGGAGUACGGUAGAGGAGGGUGGAAUUCCUGGUGUAGCGGUGAAAUGCGUAGAGAUCGGGAGGAACAUCAGUGGCGAAGGCGGCCCUCUGGACCAGUACUGACGCUGAGGCACGAAAGCGUGGGGAGCAAACAGG
This 253-nucleotide ribosomal RNA is filed under the name uncultured bacterium. RNAcentral describes it as "partial 16S ribosomal RNA". It matches the Rfam family "Bacterial small subunit ribosomal RNA", at positions 524 to 776 of the family's 1533-position model. The record is from RNAcentral.